RNAcentral lists this ribosomal RNA (390 nucleotides) under uncultured bacterium. RNAcentral describes it as "bacterial SSU rRNA". It matches the Rfam family "Bacterial small subunit ribosomal RNA", at positions 29 to 424 of the family's 1533-position model. The record is from RNAcentral.
AUUGAACGCUGGCGGAAUGCUUUACACAUGCAAGUCGAGCGGCAGCGCGGGGGCAACUCUGGCGGCGAGCGGCGAACGGGUGAGUAAUGCAUCGGAACAUGUCCGGUUGUGGGGGAUAACCUGACGAAAGCCAGGCUAAUACCGCAUGAGCUCGAGAGAGGAAAGCGGGGGACCUGCAAGGGCCUCGCGCGACCGGGUUGGCCGAUGUCCGAUUAGCAGUUGGUGGGGUAAAGGCUUACCAAGGCGAUGAUCGGUAGCUGGUCUGAGAGGAUGAUCAGCCACACUGGGACUGAGACACGGCCCAGACUCCUACGGGAGGCAGCAGUGGGAAUUUUGGACAAUGGGGCAACCCUGAUCCAGCCAUUCCGCGUGAGUGAAGAAGGCCUGGUU